AGUGAACGCUGGCGGUAGGCCUAACACAUGCAAGUCGAACGGCAGCACAGUAAGAGCUUGCUCUUACGGGUGGCGAGUGGCGGACGGGUGAGGAAUACAUCGGAAUCUACUUUUUCGUGGGGGAUAACGUAGGGAAACUUACGCUAAUACCGCAUACGACCUACGGGUGAAAGCAGGGGAUCUUCGGACCUUGCGCGAUUGAAUGAGCCGAUGUCGGAUUAGCUAGUUGGCGGGGUAAAGGCCCACCAAGGCGACGAUCCGUAGCUGGUCUGAGAGGAUGAUCAGCCACACUGGAGCUGAGACACGGUCCAGACUCCUACGGGAGGCAGCAGUGGGGAAUAUUGGACAAUGGGCGCAAGCCUGAUCCAGCCAUACCGCGUGGGUGAAGAAGGCCUUCGGGUUGUAAAGCCCUUUUGUUGGGAAAGAAAAGCAGCAGGUUAAUACCACGCUGUUCUGACGGUACCCAAAGAAUAAGCACCGGCUAACUUCGU
RNAcentral lists this ribosomal RNA (491 nucleotides) under uncultured bacterium. RNAcentral's name for it is "partial 16S ribosomal RNA". It matches the Rfam family "Bacterial small subunit ribosomal RNA", at positions 29 to 506 of the family's 1533-position model. The record is from RNAcentral.